This 451-nucleotide ribosomal RNA is filed under the name uncultured bacterium. RNAcentral's name for it is "bacterial SSU rRNA". It matches the Rfam family "Bacterial small subunit ribosomal RNA", at positions 340 to 786 of the family's 1533-position model. The record is from RNAcentral.
UACGGGAGGCAGCAGUGGGGAAUAUUGCACAAUGGGCGCAAGCCUGAUGCAGCCAUGCCGCGUGUAUGAAGAAGGCCUUCGGGUUGUAAAGUACUUUCAGUCGUGAGGAAGGUGUUAAGGUUAAUAACCUUAGCAAUUGACGUUAGCGACAGAAGAAGCACCGGCUAACUCCGUGCCAGCAGCCGCGGUAAUACGGAGGGUGCGAGCGUUAAUCGGAAUUACUGGGCGUAAAGGGCACGCAGGCGGUUAAUUAAGUUGGAUGUGAAAUCCCCGGGCUUAACCUGGGAAUGGCAUUCAAGACUGGUUAGCUAGAGUCUUGUAGAGGGGGUAGAAUUCCAUGUGUAGCGGUGAAAUGCGUAGAGAUGUGGAGGAAUACCGGUGGCGAAGGCGGCCCCUGGACAAAGACUGACGCUCAUGUGCGAAGCGUGGGGAGCAAACAGAAUUAGAUACC